Molecule: long non-coding RNA, 1138 nt
Filed under: Felis catus (domestic cat)
Lineage: Eukaryota; Metazoa; Chordata; Mammalia; Carnivora; Felidae
Description: lncRNA (ENSFCAG00000051292.1)
Source: RNAcentral
GGUGAUGCGAUUACUUACCAGGGCAGUAGCGUCGUUUGGAACUCACGCGCCUCCGUAAACAUCUUUGCACCGACCUACUACGCAGAGGCACGGCUUAACCGCACCGGGCUCUGGGCAGCCGCUCUCCACAGCCGGAGGAACACCCGCCCACACGCCGUGAGCUGCUCCAGAUUCAGCUCAGUACCCGACCAAACAGGGGCAGAGGUGAACACUGGGAAGGAUGAGUGUAGACCGCAGGAGGCCGGUCAGAGGCCGCGAGCCUUGGGUGUGCUGCCCCCUCACCUACUAACAGUGUCCCCGCACCACACAGUCGAGUCCCUGCUGGUGGGAGAACGGUGGGAGCCCUGGCAUCCCCCGGAGCGAGGCAGAGUGCGUUUUAACCACACAGCCCCCUCCACCUGCCUCCCCUGCCUCCCCCUGCUGCCCCUGCCUCCCCCUGCCUCUCCCUGCCUCCCCCUGUCUCCCCCUCUCUCCCCCGACUCCCCUGCCUCCUCCCACCUCCCCCUGCCUCCCCUUGUCUCCCUCUGCUUCCCAUGUCUCCCCUGCUUCCCCUGUCCCCUCACUUCCCCUGCCUCCCCCAUCUCCCCCUGCCUCUCCCUGCCUCCCCCUGUCUCCCCCUAUCUCCCUUUGACUCCCCUGCCUCCUCCCACCUCCCCCUGCCUCCCCUUGUCUCCCUCUACUUCCCAUGUCUCCCCUGCUUCCCUUGUCCCCUCACUCCCCCCUGCCUCCCCCAUCUCCCCCUGCCUCCCCCUGCCUCCCCAUGUCUCCCCUUAUCUCCCCCUGCCUCCCCCUGCCUCCCCCUGUCUCCCCCUAUCUCCCCCGACUCCCCUGCCUCCUCCCACCUCCCCCUGCCUCUCCCUGCCUCCCCUUGUCUCCCUCUACUUCCCAUGUCUCCCCUGCUUCCCUUGUCCCCUCACUCCCCCCUGCCUCCCCCAUCUCCCCCUGCCUCUCCCUGCCUCCCCCUGUCUCCCCCUAUCUCCCCCGACUCCCCUGCCUCUCCCUGCCUCCCCCAUCUCUCCCUGCCUCCCCCUGCUGGUUCCUGACUUUGGCCACAAAGAGCUGGGCUACAGAGAACCAGAGACUCAGCCGGCACCUGGUAUGUUUUCAGGUGAAACCGGGAGGUUUAGCAACUUGCUAA